AUCUUAUCUCCAUUUUAUUUUAUUUUUACUUCUUGAAGCUUUCUCUAGUUUUGGGUUCCUUAAAUCUUCGUACAUUUUUUUUUUAUCUUUUAAGCUUCCUCAGUUCAUUCCAUCUCAAUAUCUGGAUUUCUUGAAGCAUCCUCUAUUUUGAGGGGAGUUUUAAGUUUUCUCAGCGUAUUUGAUCUUCAUUUUUAGGUUUCUUAAAGUUCUUCCAACAUAUUUCAUCUUUAUUUUUGUGUUUCUUGAAGCGUUCUCCAUAUUUGGAUUUUUCUAAGUUCCCUCAACACUAAUAUUUUUUUGGGUUUCUUGAAGCUUCCACCAUUUCGGGUUUCUUAAAGUUCCCUUAUCGAUUUUGUGAUAUCAAGUAUGUGACAUUGAUUCUAUGGCCAAGAUUUUGCAAUGAUGAUUCUAAAGCCCAAAUUCUGCAACCUUUAUCCUACAAUCCCUUUUUUAUUUCUCUAGACUUUAUCAAUAUAUUCUAUAGCUAGCUUGAAAUCUUGUUCCUGCUCUGCUUCCAUCAUGUUGUUCUUGGGUGUACAUAUGUUAUGUUGAUUUUUUUUCAUCUUUUUCAUUAUCAAAUCCCACUCUGCAACUCAAAUCAAAAUUACCUCAACUCUCAUGUUAUUUUUGGAUGCAACUACCAUGUUGAUUAUGGGUCUCAUAUAUAUGGAGCUUCGGCUCUUUUCAUGUUAUUUUUCAAUUAAUUACUAUGUUGAUUUUGGGUCUCAUAUAUGUGAAUCUUCAACUCUCUUCAUGUUGUUUUUGGAUGCAACUAUCAUGUUAAUUGUAAGUAUUGUAUAUUGGAGCUCCAAUUCUCUUCAUGUUGUUUUGGUGUGAAACUUCUCUCAUAUUAUGUUAGGUUUUAUUUCUCCUGGGUUACGACUCUCUCCCAUGUUGUUUUAAGGUUUCAUUUCUACAGAGUUCUGACUUUCUCCCUUGUUUUCAUAUGUGUUUUAGGUUUUAUCUCUACAACCUCUAUAACAUUGCUCUAUAGAUUUCCACUAUACUUUUGUAGCCUAACUUUUUAGGUAUUUUAUGUUGGUUUCUUCCUUCUUUACGAAUCUUGCUUAGUAGCUUAGACCAUUCUACCUUGCUUAUCUAUUGUGUUGGUUUAAUUUUGCUAUGCUUUUUUGGUACUUAUUUAUAUUAUUAUGGCAUUUUCCAUUUUUUUCUUCAUCAAUCAAGCUCAAGUUUGAAGUCACUCUUGCUUUUUCUAUAUUUUUAUAUUAAAUCCUCUUCCAUAUUACUUUUGGGUUCUACAUACACCAUGUUGUUUUGGAUUUCUAUUUUUGGGGAGCUACAACUUUCUACCAUGUUUUAGGUACAAUCUUUCCCAUUUUUGUUAGGUUUUACUCUAUGGAACUUUGGCUCACUUCUAUGUUAUUUUUGAGUGCACAUAUGUUAUGUUAAUAUGUUUUAGCUCUUUGCAACUUCCUCUUAUAUUAUGUAAUUUUUAGGUGGACAUAUGGUAUAUUGAUUUUCCUACAACUUUUGACAGUUUUGAAAUGAGAAUAAUUGAGGUUAUCUAUAGUGGUAUCAUGAUACCUAAACUCCUAAGAAUGCCCUAAUUCAAGAUUGUCGCAGGUAUCACGAUACCCAUAUAGUGGUAUCACGAUACUAUCGUCGUGCAGGGACAAAAAAUGACUACACGGAUAGUCUUUGUCCAAUUUUAACACCAAUCAAAUUUAGACAUUGAGGGGCAUAUUGGUCACAAUUUUUGGGUUGUAAUCAGAUUAAAAGCCACUUUUGGAUAAGAACAAAAUGGUAUAGAGUAUAGGGAGCUUUUACUUUAGGUUUUUUUACAUCUCUUUAGUUGAGGUUUAGGGUUUUCUUUUUCAUGUUUUUAGGGUUUAGUUUACUUUUCUGAUUUUUAAUUAGUUUGGUAGUUAGCUAGUUAGUUUUACUGUAGCUUAGUGUUAAUUGCUUUCUAAUGCAUUGACUUUCCUUGUAUUUACAGUUUAAACCUUUCAUUUAAUGUCAUUCAACGUUACUUUCUUUUACUUGUUAAAUAAUCAUAUCUUUGGUAUUUUUAUUCAUCAAACUUGUUGCCAUUGUUGUGUUCUUCAAGCUUUUGCAAGAAAGCUUGGGUUUUUAUUCACUUUUCUUUAAGUUUAAGUUAAUGCUUUGUUUGCUUGAAUUUUUGUUAUUGUGUGUUUGAAAAUGAGUAAGAAAAGCUAAAUCUAAGGUGGUUGGUUGAUGGAAAUGUUGUUAAGUUAUUUUUUGGUACAGAGACUAAAUCUUAAAAACUGGACUAGAUUGAAUAGACUUCAAAAACUUAGACUUGAUGACCCUAAAAAAAAUUAGGUAAGUGAGACUGAGAGGAGAUCUUAUUGAGCACCAAUUCUUUAGCCCCAGGUUAGUUUGAUGAGGUCUAGAGAUAAACCAGACUAAUUUAUUUAGCUUGGUAAAAUUAAGGUUGAGAGGUAAAAUUGAGUCAUUUAGGAGUUUUUUAGUUCCCUAAUUCGAAGAUUAACUAGCAACAUAGAAGGCAACUAAUCACUAUUUUUCAUUUAAUUGCUAUUUGUUUAAUUGUAUAUGUUUUACAAUUUAGUCCUUUUUUGUGCUAAGUAGUUAAUUAGGUUAAUUAAUUUCCAAUUUAUGUAUUGUUGUACUAUAGAAAUUGGUGAGUAGCUAGCUAGAAUCCUUUCUUGCAUACUUGUUAAAUAAAAAUCAUUAAAUCAUUGAUUCCCUUAAGUUCGAUUCUUAGAAUUCUUUAGUGUUCCAUUGUAAUAGUAUAAAUAUUACAAUUGACUUGUCAUACUUGCAGGCACCAUACAUAGUUAUUUUGAUUUGAUUUUCGUAGUUGUGUUGAUUUUCAACCCUGGUGUAUGCACUCACGAGGUGAGGCAGUCAAGUUGUUGGCGCUGUUGUUGGGGAUUGUAACAGUGUAAAUGUGUGGUCAAGUUAGUUUCCCUUGAGGCAAUAUUAGUUGAAAGACGAGGAAAUUAGAUAGUGCUUUUUAUUUUGUUGUACAGUGUUUUAUUUUUGUGUUUUUAUUUUAAUUUACCUUGUUGAAGAUUUUGCUUAAUCAUGUUUAAAAGCAAUGGAUAUAGGUGGUCGGGAGACCAAUACAACUAUGACGAGUAGUUAAGUUCAACCAAUAGAGAUUCGACGAACCAUUGGAGUUAUAAUGACAAUUAGGAAGGCAAGAGUAUCUACAUGAGCAUCCUUAUGGUUUAUAUGGAUAUGCAUCUGAGAUGGGAAGCUAUAAUUAAGGGUUGUCGAACAAUUAUCCAACAUAUAUUCGUAUUCCCUAUAUUACUAUCCGAAAAGUAAUAUGGAGAGUGAAGAGUACAUGGAAGACCCAUCCCUUGCUACACGGAUUGGAAUGUUGAAGGAGAGCAUGUCUUCGUUACAAACUAUUGUGUUUUCCAUGUCCAAAAUGUUGGAGCAAAUAUUAGAAAUUGUCCAAUACCGAGCCACAAUGAAUACUCUAAUAGAAGAGGUUAAGUAUGAUAUUCCCGAGCUCAAGGAUGAGGGCCAUUUCACCGUUAUUGAACAUGAUGACUUAAGCAUGGGCAUUCAACAAGUGUUCAGAGUUGAAGACCGUGACCAAGUUCUGGAAAUGAAAGAAGGUGUCUUCACUCCAAUUGACAUAGGAUUAGGAGUAAGAGUAGAAGUAGGAAUAUAGUUAGUUAUAGAGGAAGAAGCUAAACCGGGAACUAAGUGAAGGUAUGGAGGAGCCAACACACUUUCUGACUAUUUUUGUGGAUGAGCCAAUCGACGUACUUCAUGAUCACAUGCAUUCUUCUUCCGAUGCAGAAACUACAGUUUAAGAUAAUAAGACUUUAUAUGACAUUGAGUCCAUAUUGCCUGAAGUUAUAAUACCUUAGAAUGGAUUUUGGAUAUGGUUAGGCUUUGGAGAGAAGUGGCUCAUGAUGUGGCUGUCUCGAAGAUCGAAGAGGAGGUCGUUGUCUUAACAAUGAAGAAUAAACGCUGAUUCAAAGUGUCGAGAACCUCAUGGAAGUUAUUUUGCGGUGGUCUACCCACCGAAAACUACACAACAUUGAGAGCUUUAACGAAGUUUGAGGACUACUCCACCAUUUUGCUAUACAUAGUCUUAAAUCGAAUGAGUUUUUUAAAACUAAUCUUUAGUAGGGGAGAUAUUGAGGACAAUGUGUAAUUUAAGUAGGGGCAUUCAUAGAAAAAUUUCAUGUUCAGUCAAUGUUUUUAUGGUUAAGUGUUUGUCUUAGUUUUAUUUCAAUUUUUGCAUGGUGCUUGAACAUGAUUGGAUUGAUAAUUGGUGAAUUGUGGUAUGCUAUUGUACAAUUGAUUAUUUGAUUGUACAAACUUUGUAUGAUGAUUGAUGAAUUCUAUUUUUUGUGAAUAAA
Gossypium arboreum is the source of this 4331-nucleotide long non-coding RNA. RefSeq lists it as uncharacterized. The transcript has 2 exons. The record is from RefSeq and is a predicted model, not a curated record. NCBI's taxonomy places the organism in Eukaryota, Viridiplantae, Streptophyta, Magnoliopsida, Malvales, Malvaceae.